UGGGGAAUAUUGCACAAUGGGCGAAAGCCUGAUGCAGCGACGCCGCGUGAGGGAUGACGGCCUUCGGGUUGUAAACCUCUUUCAGUAGGGAAGAAGCCUUUCGGGGUGACGGUACCUGCAGAAGAAGCGCCGGCUAACUACGUG
RNAcentral lists this ribosomal RNA (144 nucleotides) under uncultured compost bacterium. Its description in RNAcentral is "partial 16S rRNA". It matches the Rfam family "Bacterial small subunit ribosomal RNA", at positions 355 to 507 of the family's 1533-position model. The record is from RNAcentral.